This 497-nucleotide ribosomal RNA is filed under the name uncultured bacterium. RNAcentral's name for it is "partial 16S ribosomal RNA". It matches the Rfam family "Bacterial small subunit ribosomal RNA", at positions 28 to 507 of the family's 1533-position model. The record is from RNAcentral.
GAUGAACGCUGGCGGCGUGCCUAAUACAUGCAAGUCGAGCGAACGGACGAGAAGCUUGCUUCUCUGAUGUUAGCGGCGGACGGGUGAGUAACACGUGGAUAACCUACCUAUAAGACUGGGAUAACUUCGGGAAACCGGGGCUAAUACCGGAUAAUAUUUUGAACCGCAUGGUUCAAAAGUGAAAGACGGUCUUGCUGUCACUUAUAGGUGGAUCCGCGCUGCAUUAGCUAGUUGGUAAGGUAACGGCUUACCAAGGCAACGAUGCAUAGCCGACCUGAGAGGGUGAUCGGCCACACUGGAACUGAGACACGGUCCAGACUCCUACGGGAGGCAGCAGUAGGGAAUCUUCCGCAAUGGGCGAAAGCCUGACGGAGCAACGCCGAGUGAGUGAUGAAGGUCUUCGGAUCGUAAAACUCUGUUAUUAGGGAAGAACAUAUGUGUAAGUAACUGUGCACAUCUUGACGGUACCUAAUCAGAAAGCCACGGCUAACUACGUG